AUGGGAUGCGCUGACGUCCGCCGCAACGCAGUGACGUCAUUUUCAGGUGCCGCGGCCGGAAGGCCGUUAACGGCCAGCGCGCACCUGCAAGCACUUUGGUGAGGGGAUAUAAGUUUCCAAAAAGUCACACACAGCCUCUGGGCCAGUCUCCACUCCUACUGAUGCUGAGGAUGCUGAUGAUGCUGGGAAGAACAUUAGCAUUGGGUGUGUUUUCACAUCAAUUUGUCAACAAUAUUAAAAAAAAAAUUUAGGCCCAUCCACACGUGUUGCCAUCACGGAAACGCAGUCUGGGUGUGUCUUCCCGGCCAGUACACAUCACACCACCACGUCGACACAUGUUGGAGGUAUCAGCCGCCCCACCGUUGCAACUCCUCGACAGUCCACAGUCAUUGUCCCCACAAUCGCCACACCUGCCUGGUAAGCUUUAAAACACAACACAAAAAUGUCACAUACUUCCACACACACACUUUACCAUAUGCCAAACAUUGUCCAAAUUCUUCAAAGAUGCCUUUUCUAUUUCAGAUGGCUUAUUGCCCAUACCAACCAAACACAUUCCACUCAACAUUUAUGUUAGUCAUUAUAGUCCAAACAUUAUAGUCCAAACAUCUUGGAAACUAUAAAAAAAACAAAAAAAAACAAUGUGAAUAAAAACAACAUCCAGUAAUUAAAAAUUUCUGUAACUUAAUAUUUGUAGGCCAAGGGAACAAAACACAUUCGAUAUUCUUGAUUAGAUAAUAAGCUUACACUUACACGCAACUGGUCUCUCAUUUCAGGGGAUCCCAUUGUUCAGCCAGCUCCACCAGUCCAGAACCUGACAUACACAUUACACCUCACACCAAUACCCCUGCCUGACCCAACCCGCACACAUUUGUCUACUCCGCCCAGGCAAAGGAUACCACAUCCGGACAUAAGCCCAACCACACCACAACCACAGUCUCAGGAACAGGCUUUCUGGGACAGCUGGACCACUUAGCAAAGCAAUAAUCUAGAGUGAUUGCGUAGGCACACACAAUUAAUCGCUAGUGUGGCCCAUCACAUACCAAGAUUAUAUAGAAGCAACAGUAGACAAACCACUAAACUCACCAGAAUAGGCUAACACCAUGGAAUUUCUGACGGCAGACAAUAAUAGGAUGCUAGACACCUAUCAAAGUAUUAUGGAUGAAAAUCACAGGCUCCACCAAUUAUACCUGCAAAUGUUAACGGCCACACAAACGACACAAGAGAGCAUGGUCCGAAUAAUGGAAAGCCACGCGACAGCUACUAGAGACUUGAAUGACACUCUAACUACACUAACCCAGCAUCUCAGGCAUCAAUCAGAGCAAACAAGUACCAGCUCAACAGCCACAACCCCCUUAGUGUCACCUGUCACCUCGCCACCAAGACGUUCUGGUCGAACACGACUAGACACAAGUGUCAAAGGCCCAUCCACAUCCAAAAGAAGACCUGCAAAAUAAUUACAAAGAAUCAUGUGUUUUAAUUGGAAAUUGGUAAUUGUAUGCAACUACCAUUAUACAUGUUUUUGGCAAAAUUAAGGCCAUGGUUUAUUGUUCGCUUUUCAAAAACUAAAACCAAGGCAAAACAAA
Long non-coding RNA from Pseudophryne corroboree (corroboree frog), 1583 nucleotides. RefSeq lists it as uncharacterized. The record is from RefSeq and is a predicted model, not a curated record. Lineage: Eukaryota; Metazoa; Chordata; Amphibia; Anura; Myobatrachidae. The transcript has 2 exons.